UGAGGGGAAGCCGGAGCGAAAGCGAGUCUGAACAGGGCGUUCAGUCGCAUGCCGUAGACCCGAAGCCGAGUGAGCUAUCCAUGGGCAGUGUGAAGCGGAGGUACGACUCUGUGGAGGCGCGAGCCGACUUCAGUUGAAAAUGGAGCGGAUGACCUGUGGAUAGGGGUGAAAGGCCGAUCAAACUCGGUGAUAGCUGGUUCUCCGCGAAAUGCAUUUAGGUGCAGCGUCGUGCGUUCAACGAUGGGGGUAGAGCACUGAAUGGGCUAGGGGUCCUACAAGACUACCGACCCCAAUCAAACUCCGAAUACCAUCGUUCCAGAGCACGGCAGUGAGACCUCGGGGGAUGAGCUUCGAGGUCGAGAGGGAAACAGCCCAGACCGCCGGCUAAGGUCCCAAAAUCUGAACUAAGUGGUAAACGAUGUGAGAUUGCGAAGACAGCCAGGAGGUUGGCUUGGAAGCAGCCAUCCUUGAAAGAGUGCGUAACAGCUCACUGGUCGAGUGAUCUUGCGCGGACAAUGUAACGGGGCUCAAGUUCAGUACCGAAGCCGCGGAUGCGACUCUUUGAGUCGUGUGGUAGCGGAGCGUCGAGCGUGCAGCGAAGCGGCGGGACAACCCAGCCGUGGAGCGCGUUCGAGUGCGAAUGUUGGCAUGAGUAGCGAAUGAGGGGUGAGAACCCCCUCCGCCGUAUGUCCAAGGGUUCCUGGGCGAGGCCAAUCCUCCCAGGGUGAGUCGGGAGCUAAGGCGAGGCCGAGAGGCGUAGUCGAUGCACAACUGGUUGAUAUUCCAGUACCACCAUGUUCGCGUCCGUCCCAAUACUCUGUUGCUAAGGGGCUGUGUUGACUUCGGUCAACGCGAACCGACCCACAUUGUUGCGGGAAGCUGUAGGGGGACGCAGGAAGGUAGAUGAACCCGGUGAAUGGUAGAACCGGGGUAAGCGUGUAGGAGGAGGACCAGGUAAAUCCGGGCCUCAUAAACUCUGAGACGUGAUACCGAGCCGCUUCAGGCGAAGUCAUUGAUCCUAUGCUGCCUAGGAAAGCCCAGCAGCGAGUUGACAUGGUGCCCGUACCCCAAACCAACACAGGUGGACAGGUAGAGCAUACCAAGGCGAGUGGGAUAACUAUGGUUAAGGAACUCGGCAAAUUGCCUCCGUAACUUCGGGAGAAGGAGGACCCCAGUAGCGUGAUGAGACUUGCUCUCUGAGCGUGAAGGGGUGGCACAAAAUUGAGGGAAGCGACUGUUUACCAAAAACACAGCAGCGUGCUAAGCCGUAAGGCGCUGUAUACGCUGUGACUCCUGCCCGGUGCUAGAAGGUUACGGGGAUGGGUUAGUCCUUCGGGACGAAGCUCUGAACCUAAGCCCCAGUAAACGGCGGCCGUAACUAUAACGGUCCUAAGGUAGCGAAAUUCCUUGUCGGGUAAGUUCCGACCUGCACGAAUGGAGUAACGACUUCCCUACUGUCUCAACCAUAGACCCAGCGAAAUUGAAGUACGAGUAAAGAUGCUCGUUAGCUGCAGAAGGACGGAAAGACCCCGUGGACCUUUACUAUAACUUGAUGUUGUGUUUUGAC
Molecule: ribosomal RNA, 1567 nt
Filed under: metagenome
Description: bacterial LSU rRNA
Rfam family: Bacterial large subunit ribosomal RNA
Source: RNAcentral